Mangifera indica (mango) is the source of this 968-nucleotide long non-coding RNA. RefSeq lists it as uncharacterized. The record is from RefSeq and is a predicted model, not a curated record. The transcript has 2 exons. Lineage: Eukaryota; Viridiplantae; Streptophyta; Magnoliopsida; Sapindales; Anacardiaceae.
UAAAUUUAUAUAAAUAAUUAAUUGCUGGCGGCCAAGUCUUUUCCAUCAGCUAGUUUGUCGGCUUUUCCUUCCUUCUCCCUAGGCGCAAUUUGACUGCUCUUUGUUUAGUUUAUUUAAGUUAGAUAAAGUCACUUUCUUCAACUGUUUGAGCUGCCCCAUGUCUUUUCAGCCAGCUACCUUGCAUUUCCAUUUCCAAUGCAGCCUUCUUCCUUUGUUUAAUUUAUUCUCACGUGUUCUCUCUCGCUCUUUUCAUUGCAGCCUUCUUCCUUUGUUUAAUUUAUUCUCUAAACGUGUUCUCUCCCAGCAACUCAAGCUCAAAAACAACAAAAAAAUGGAUGCGCUUUUGGCUGUCACCGUAACACUUUUCUCAGCUGCCAUUUUCUUGUUAAUUGCUAUAGCAUUUCGACUUUUUUAUUUAAAAUACCAACAACAACAACAAAACUUUAUCCAGUCAGAUUUUGGUGGCAUCCAAAAUCUGGAGAUUGCGGUCCACGAUUUGAAUGGCGCAAUCCACGAUUUGAUUACUUCUGUUCAGCUUCUUGAGAACAGGAUGGCUUUGAAGGGUACUCUGGCGAUAUCGAAGGUUGAUGUUCAUAUGGGGUUGAAUAUGAGUCAUUGUUUUGACAGUGACUUAAUAUAAGUUUUUAUGUUUUUUGGAUUUAUUUUUGUUUAUUUUUGUGCCCCUCUUGAGUUGUUUAAUCGACGACUGAAGGCUCGAGCAACUGAGGAAUAUAGUUUAAUCGACAAGGCGCUCAACAGGAAGGUGGACGCAGUCGACGGAGGUCUCGACAGGAAGGUGGACGCAGUCAACGGAGGUGGAGUUUGCGACUGAAAGAAGGCAGUGAAGAGAGGGAAGGAACGAAGGGUCGUGUGACCGUGUAAUGUAUAUGUUUUUUAAUUUGCUGGGAAGAAAACUGUCUUUUUCUUUAUUUUUUCAUGAAGGGUAGUUUUGUCUUCACAGUGAAAAA